RNAcentral lists this ribosomal RNA (233 nucleotides) under uncultured bacterium. Its description in RNAcentral is "partial 16S ribosomal RNA". It matches the Rfam family "Bacterial small subunit ribosomal RNA", at positions 118 to 350 of the family's 1533-position model. The record is from RNAcentral.
GGGGCAACCUGCCCCCUAGCUCUGGGAUAACUCCCGGGGAAACCGGGGCUAAUACCGGAUACGACCUCCUGCGGCAUCUCGGGAGGUGGAAAGAAUUUCGGCUAGGGAUGGGCCCGCGGCCUAUCAGCUUGUUGGCGGGGUAACGGCCCACCAAGGCGACGACGGGUAGCCGGCCUGAGAGGGCGACCGGUCACGUUGGAACUGAGACACGGCCCAGACUCCUACGGGAGGCA